This 296-nucleotide ribosomal RNA is filed under the name uncultured bacterium. RNAcentral's name for it is "partial 16S ribosomal RNA". It matches the Rfam family "Bacterial small subunit ribosomal RNA", at positions 775 to 1067 of the family's 1533-position model. The record is from RNAcentral.
GGAUUAGAUACCCUGGUAGUCCACGCCGUAAACGAUGGAUACUCGAUGUAGGAGGGAAUCGACCCCCUUCUGUGUCUAAGCUAACGCGUUAAGUAUCCCGCCUGGGGAGUACGGUCGCAAGAUUAAAACUCAAAGGAAUAGACGGGGACCCACACAAGCGGUGGAGCAUGUGGUUUAAUUCGACAAUAAACGGGGAACCUUACCAAGGCUUGACAUCUCCGGAAGUCCGAGGAAACUUGGAUGUGCCGUAAGGAACUGGAUGACAGGUGCUGCAUGGUCGUCGUCAGCUCGUGCCG